This 241-nucleotide ribosomal RNA is filed under the name Bacillus sp. 43_1T. RNAcentral's name for it is "partial 16S ribosomal RNA". It matches the Rfam family "Bacterial small subunit ribosomal RNA", at positions 121 to 355 of the family's 1533-position model. Lineage: Bacteria; Bacillati; Bacillota; Bacilli; Caryophanales; Bacillaceae. The record is from RNAcentral.
GUAACCUGCCUGUAAGACUGGGAUAACUCCGGGAAACCGGGGCUAAUACCGGAUGCUUGAUUGAACCGCAUGGUUCAAUCAUGAAAGGCGGCUUCGGCUGCCGUUUACAGAUGGACCCGCGGCGCAUUAGCUAGUUGGUGAGGUAACGGCUCACCAAGGCGACGAUGCGUAGCCGACCUGAGAGGGUGAUCGGCCACACUGGGACUGAGACACGGCCCAGACUCCUACGGGAGGCAGCAGU